CCCGUUUGAAUCAUAACAAAUAUCAGCAGAGUUUGAAGUCGUACGUCGUCUGAAUUGGUGAAGAUUUGGUACGUCGUCUGAAUUGGUGAAGAUUUGUCGUAUUUCUAACAAGAUGAGUGACUGCGACUUCUCUACUGACUAUAGCCAAGGAGAUCUGAGAUUUGAAAAGUAUAGCAAUGAUGGCCCGACCACCUGUAAUAAAUGGAUGAUAUUAGGAGGUGUUAUCUCUGUGCUGACAGUGAUAAUAAUAAUUGUGGCAGUUAAGAUGGACUGGUGAACAUUAAUGGAUCAAGACACCAUCAUGUUGAAUCUUCAGCUAAAUUAGUUCAGUGACUGCCAUAACAUUUUAUCAGUUGCGUCUCAUUAUGAACAUUUUCUUACAAUCGGAAUCAGUAUAUAUGAAUAUAUGAAACACUUUACAAGAUUUGUUUGAGCAGCUUAAUAUUAAUGGUUACAAUUUUUAGAAGUAACAUAAAUAAAAUGUUUCUGUUUUUAUUUAUAUUUAGUGUAGUGUUAUCCACAUUAUUAAACUAAUUGACAAUACUAUAUAUUUGGGCAAAACAGCUUGGCAUAAAUAAUUUUUUUUGAACUAGGACAUUUGUAAUUAUAUCUAGUAUAAAUUUGAGCCAUAUUGAUGUUAAUUAAAACACUCUUCAUGUAAUUAAAAAAAAACAUUGCUCACCAAAAGCAAGAUAAUAAAUUGGAAACAGACUUGAUACUGGCCAUACAUUAGCAGUAUAAAAAUAGCCGAUAUAUAUAUGGUUAUUUCUGUAUCACAAGAUUGUAACUCCAUGAACUCCAAAGAAAUGAUCCACACAUGAAAUGGAUGAAGCGGAAUACAUGUAUAAAGACCGUCCCCAAAAUAUACAGACACAGUUUUAGAUAAUAUGCAAGUAGAGAUGCACUGUAGCCACAUGGAGUAUUAUGAUUUAUAACUUACAUAUUCCGUCCUGUCUACCUUUAUUAGGAAUUCGAUUUUCAUAGAUAGCCAAAUUCUAUACAUAUAUAUACAUUUGUUUCCCUUAGUUUUGUUUUUCUUUUUUCUCUGUAAACAUUUUAUUGUUUUCUUUUAUCAGAAUAAGAGAUUUAUUUUCUGAAUGGAUGCAAUAAAGAUUCUAUUCUAUAUAUG
Molecule: long non-coding RNA, 1129 nt
Organism: Saccoglossus kowalevskii
Lineage: Eukaryota; Metazoa; Hemichordata; Enteropneusta; Harrimaniidae
Source: RefSeq, a predicted model, not a curated record